Electrophorus electricus (electric eel) is the source of this 706-nucleotide long non-coding RNA. The record is from Ensembl. Lineage: Eukaryota; Metazoa; Chordata; Actinopteri; Gymnotiformes; Gymnotidae.
AAAGACACUGACAGAGAAGCGACACAGGGAAUCUCAAGAAGCUAAUGGGUAUUUGAUGGAAGGAGGACCCGUCUACAGCUAAACGGCGACAAGGAAGAGGAGGCUGGGGUAAAGAGCGGGGAAAGACGGGGCUGGAAGUGCUCAAAAGGAUCCGAUACAGCCGGAAGAGAAAAGACGUGGGGCAACGGACGCGCUCCAGUCCUGUCUUACUUGAAGUGCCAGAACUCGUCGAGUCCAGUUUCUGCCAGCCUCAGUCUGCCAAUCGGAACAGCAGCACAUCCAUUGUUACCUUCGCCAUCAGCAAUGCCAGGAGGGCCUGUACCAGUGGCCAGCCCCAAGCCCUGCCUUGCCGCCCGCUCCACUAACGCCCGCCACACCUCCCCCAGCUGCUGAAACUUGGCCACUGUUUCACGCUCCUCGCUGUCAUACUGGGAACUCAAGUGCAGCUUACAGCCAGCCAGCCAGGAAAACUAACAGCUGAGGGGCCUGUUCUACACUGCACCAAAGCCCACCUCUCAGGCAAGUGUCCCACUUCCCCAUAUAGCCGCCUAGCAUCUACCUUAGUAUUCCACAUGAUUUUCAGUGUCAGGAUCACCCCAACUUGUGCUCUGUCUGCAGUCUCUCAUGGUGUUGCUCUUUUUUUUUGUUUUGUAGGCAUGGCUCCCAUUCGGGACUCGGUCAGCCACUCCCCUAACCAAACAGGUGA